AAGAGUUGUAAAACUCCCAAACCCAUGUGAACUUACCUUUGUUGCCUCGGUGGGCUACCCGGUAGCUACCCUGUAGUUACCCUGUAGCUUGCCGACGGUAUUCUAAACUCUUGUUUAAUAGUAUCAUCUCUGAGUAAACUUUUAAAUAAGUCA
This 153-nucleotide unclassified non-coding RNA is filed under the name uncultured fungus. RNAcentral describes it as "sequence contains ITS1, 5.8S rRNA gene". The record is from RNAcentral. Lineage: Eukaryota; Fungi.